RNAcentral lists this ribosomal RNA (358 nucleotides) under Dahlica fennicella. Its description in RNAcentral is "partial 12S ribosomal RNA". Lineage: Eukaryota; Metazoa; Arthropoda; Insecta; Lepidoptera; Psychidae. The record is from RNAcentral.
AAUUUUUAUUCAUUUUAUUAAAAUUAAUAAAAUUACAUUUAAAUCCUUUUUCAAUUAAAUAAUUUCAAUUUAAUAUUCAUUUAAAUAAAUUUAUUGUAAUUCAUUUAUUCUAAAUUAUUAGUUACAUCUUGAUUUGAUUUAAUUUUUUAUUUUAAAUUUUUAAAUAUUAUAAAUUUAUAAAAAAUAUUUUUUUAACAAUGAUAUAUAAAUUUAUAAAUUAAGUAAAUUAAUUCGUGGAUUAUCAAUUAUUAAACAAAUUCCUCUAAAUAAAAUAAAAUACUGCCAAAUUAUUUAAGUUUCAUAUAAUAAUAUUAAUUACUAUUUUAAUAUUAAACUAUUUAAUUUAUAUAAUAGGGUA